RNAcentral lists this long non-coding RNA (1069 nucleotides) under Nothobranchius furzeri (turquoise killifish). RNAcentral describes it as "lncRNA (ENSNFUG00015007675.1)". The record is from RNAcentral. Lineage: Eukaryota; Metazoa; Chordata; Actinopteri; Cyprinodontiformes; Nothobranchiidae.
ACACACACACACACACACACACACACACACACACACACACACACACACACAGAGGACUGUCUCAGCUGUUAUUUUCGUUAAGGAGUGUGCACGUACAGCAUGCGCGCCUCGUGCACGAGCCUACUAUUGAAGCUGACAUUACGCUUUUGGCCUGAGGGGGCGAUCGCGAGCAUAAAAAUUCAAAAGUCCGAAAAGUCCCUUUAAACCAUCACAUAUAACUGAACGUUUAUUAAUUUAGAGCUUUUCCAGUGUCAACAACUGUGAGGCAGACAUGGUGCUGAGAAAGUUGCUUUGCUAUAAGAUCCUCAACAUAAAGCCAACGCCAGUGAGGAUGAUGUAGAUAAAUAAAAACAUUAAUAUCGACGUAUAUUUGUGCUCUUUCUAUUCGUGUCUUUAUUGAAACCUGUAAUUUCACUCAACAGUCCUUUUUACAGACGUGCUUUUGGCGCUCCGUUAAUCAGUCAGAAUCAAUGCUCUCUUUUAUGAAACAUAACAUUACUAUUAUUCAGUCUACGAGCCCACAAGUACCUACGUAGUAAUUAAAUCAUACUAUUCUCAUCAGAUUGACAGGCUCGUCUCUGCUCAGGUUUACCCUCUCAGGAUGUUUUAUUGUUUUUCUCACAAACAGACUAGAAAGUUGAUCCCUGCUGCAGCAGUAAAAUCACCUCCCUUCUCCUCCUGCGUAGCCGUAGCUCAGAGUCUUGCCAAGACAUGGAGUAAUCCUAUUUUUGGCUCGUGCUUCUCAAUGAAGGCACACGCUCAGGCACAUGUAGAUGCACGUGCGUGCUGUCAGCUGGAAGGCGUCGCUGCAUGUUUUGCUUCUUCUCGCUUAUCCCCAUCACAUAAAAAUGAAGCGCUCCGUUUCUCCUCGUCUGCCACCUCUCCAUCCCACCUCGACUCUCAAAAAAAGGACACAACCUGGCAAGUGGAAAUGGCAAUUCAACCGGCUGGCGGAGGACAUGAAUCAUCAGAGGUGAGUGUCGGUCAACGCCGCUCUGAGCUCCCGCUGGGUUCGCCCUGUUUCUGCCGUCAGGUUUGGAACGUAUUUGCCUCCUUUUCUCCUCUGUGA